CGUACGCAACCUUCCCGAAACAGGUGAAUAGCCCUCCGAAAGGAGGAUUAAUACACCGUAAUAUGAUCAGAUGGCAUCAUUUGAUUAUUAAAGAUCGCAAGAUCGGUUUUGGAUGGGCGUGCGCCUGAUUAGGUAGUUGGUGGGGUAACGGCCCACCAAGUCUGCGAUCAGUAACUGGUGUGAGAGCACGACCAGUCACACGGGCACUGAGACACGGGCCCG
RNAcentral lists this ribosomal RNA (222 nucleotides) under uncultured bacterium. Its description in RNAcentral is "partial 16S ribosomal RNA". It matches the Rfam family "Bacterial small subunit ribosomal RNA", at positions 116 to 334 of the family's 1533-position model. The record is from RNAcentral.